Molecule: ribosomal RNA, 496 nt
Filed under: uncultured bacterium
Lineage: Bacteria
Description: bacterial SSU rRNA
Rfam family: Bacterial small subunit ribosomal RNA
Source: RNAcentral
GAUGAACGCUAGCGGCAGGCUUAACACAUGCAAGUCGAGGGGCAGCGAGAGAGUAGCAAUACUUUUGUCGGCGACCGGCGGACGGGUGCGUAACGCGUAUGCAACCUACCUUAUACAGGGGGGAUAACCUUUCGAAAGGGAGACUAAUACCGCAUAACAUUACUUUGAGGCAUCUUGAGGUAAUUAAAUCUUCGGAGGUAUAAGAUGGGCAUGCGUAGCAUUAGCUAGAUGGUGCGGUAACGGCGUACCAUGGCGACGAUGCUUAGGGGUUCUGAGAGGAAGGUCCCCCACACUGGUACUGAGAUACGGACCAGACUCCUACGGGAGGCAGCAGUGAGGAAUAUUGGUCAAUGGUCGGAAGACUGAACCAGCCAUGCCGCGUGCAGGAAGAAUGUCUUAUGGAUUGUAAACUGCUUUUGUAUGGGGCUAAUAAUAACUUUGCGAAGUUAGAUGCAGGUACCAUACGAAUAAGGAUCGGCUAACCCCGUGCCAGCAG